This 448-nucleotide ribosomal RNA is filed under the name uncultured bacterium. RNAcentral's name for it is "partial 16S ribosomal RNA". It matches the Rfam family "Bacterial small subunit ribosomal RNA", at positions 29 to 523 of the family's 1533-position model. The record is from RNAcentral.
AACGAACGCUGGCGGCAGGCCUAGCACAUGCAAGUCGAACGCUGUAGCAAUACAGAGUGGCAGACGGGUGAGUAACGCGUGGGAACGUGCCUUUCGGUUCGGAAUAACUCAGGGAAACUUGAGCUAAUACCGGAUACGCCCUUCGGGGGAAGAUUUAUUGCCGAAAGAUCGGCCCGCGUCCGGUUAGCUAGGUGGUGUGGUAAUGGCGCACCAAGGCGACGAUCGGUAGCUGGUCUGAGAGGAUGAUCAGCCACACUGGGACUGAGACACGGCCCAGACUCCUACGGGGGGCAGCAGUGGGGAAUAUUGGACAAUGGGCGCAAGGCUGAUCCAUCCAUGCCGUGUGAGUGAUGAAGGCCCUAGGGUUGUAAAGCUCUUUCGCCAGGGACGAUAAUGACGGUACCUGGAUAAGAAGCCCCGGCUAACUUCGUGCCAGCCGCCGCCGUAA